Molecule: ribosomal RNA, 980 nt
Filed under: uncultured bacterium
Lineage: Bacteria
Description: bacterial SSU rRNA
Rfam family: Bacterial small subunit ribosomal RNA
Source: RNAcentral
GAUGAACGCUAGCGGCAGGCUUAACACAUGCAAGUCGAGGGGUAGGAGAAGCUUGCUUUUCUGAGACCGGCGCACGGGUGCGUAACGCGUAUGCAAUCUACCUUUCACAGAGGGAUAGCCCAGAGAAAUUUGGAUUAAUACCUUAUAGUAUAAUUGAAUGGCAUCAUUUAAUUAUUAAAGAUUUAUCGGUGAAAGAUGAGCAUGCGUCCCAUUAGCUAGUUGGUAUGGUAACGGCAUACCAAGGCAACGAUGGGUAGGGGUCCUGAGAGGGAGAUCCCCCACACUGGUACUGAGACACGGACCAGACUCCUACGGGAGGCAGCAGUGAGGAAUAUUGGACAAUGGGCGCAAGCCUGAUCCAGCCAUGCCGCGUGCAGGAUGACGGUCCUAUGGAUUGUAAACUGCUUUUAUACAGGAAGAAACACUCCCUCGUGAGGGAGCUUGACGGUACUGUAAGAAUAAGGAUCGGCUAACUCCGUGCCAGCAGCCGCGGUAAUACGGAGGAUCCAAGCGUUAUCCGGAAUCAUUGGGUUUAAAGGGUCCGUAGGCGGUCAGGUAAGUCAGUGGUGAAAGCCCAUCGCUCAACGGUGGAACGGCCAUUGAUACUGUCUGACUUGAAUUAUUAGGAAGUAACUAGAAUAUGUAGUGUAGCGGUGAAAUGCUUAGAGAUUACAUGGAAUACCAAUUGCGAAGGCAGGUUACUACUAAUUGAUUGACGCUGAUGGACGAAAGCGUGGGUAGCGAACAGGAUUAGAUACCCUGGUAGUCCACGCCGUAAACGAUGGAUACUAGCUGUUGGGAGCAAUCUCAGUGGCUAAGCGAAAGUGAUAAGUAUCCCACCUGGGGAGUACGAACGCAAGUUUGAAACUCAAAGGAAUUGACGGGGGCCCGCACAAGCGGUGGAGCAUGUGGUUUAAUUCGAUGAUACGCGAGGAACCUUACCAAGGCUUAAAUGUAGAUUGACCGGUUGGAAACAGACU